ACGCUCGACACCUACUGGAGGCAGCAGUGGGGAAUAUUGGGCAAUGGGCGAAAGCCUGACCCAGCAACGCCGCGUGAGGGAAGAAGGUUUUCGGAUUGUAAACCUCUGUCCUCAGGGACGAAGGACGUGACGGUACCUGAGGAGGAAGCCCCGGCUAACUACGUGUCAGCAGCCGCGGUAAUCUGAGCGGGCUGGCAAGGC
This 201-nucleotide ribosomal RNA is filed under the name uncultured bacterium. RNAcentral describes it as "partial 16S ribosomal RNA". It matches the Rfam family "Bacterial small subunit ribosomal RNA", at positions 328 to 539 of the family's 1533-position model. The record is from RNAcentral.